This 38-nucleotide ribosomal RNA is filed under the name Colura irrorata. RNAcentral's name for it is "partial 26S ribosomal RNA". The record is from RNAcentral. Lineage: Eukaryota; Viridiplantae; Streptophyta; Jungermanniopsida; Porellales; Lejeuneaceae.
CGGACCUCAGAUCAGGCAAGACCACCCGCUGAGUUUAA